UUCUAGUAGUAGGCAUAUGCAUGUAGUUCAGGAUCACUCGUGCACUAUGGAGCUGAGCGGCAGGGCCGCAGCACCAACGGAGUCAUGGCAGGCGCCGCUCUGGCAGCCCUUGCCGCAGAACUGAACGCCGAGGCCGCAGUAUCCAUACCGGCUGCAGCAGAAGUUGCUCAGGCACGGCUUGUCGGCGUUGCACUUGAUGUUGGCGCGGCAAGGCCCGUUCUGGCAGCCGUCGCCGCAGUACUCCUGGCCGAAGCCGCAGUACCCGUCGCCGCUGCAGCAGUGGUUGUUGGGGCACGUCACCGCGUUCGCCCCGGCCUGGGCGCCGCAGCGUUUGCUCUUGUAGCAGGCGCCGCUCUGGCAGCCGUCGCCGCAGUAGUUGGAGUCCAUGCCGCAGUACCCCCACGCGCUGCAGCAGAGGUUGUUGGGGCACUCCAUGCCGUCGGCCUGUUGGCCGCACUGCUCGGCGUGCGCGCCCGCCACGGCGAUGGCGAGGACGACUACAGCGCCGAGUGUGAGGGCCUUAGUGCUCAUCAUCUUCUUCCUGUCAGUUGGCUUGUGGUGGAUCUAGUACUGGUUGUGUGUGAGUAAACGGGUGGUGAUCUCCUCCCUUUAUAUAGGCAGGGUCAGGUUCUGGUUCAGUUCAGUUUCUUAGUUGUGGCAUCUCUUGCCAAGAAAAGAAAAAUGCAAGUCCACACCUUCGUUCCCCCGGCUGUUGCAGCUCUCCAUGUGCCUUUGAGAUUCGUGUUUUCUCGGAAUACAACACCUCAACAUUACCUAUUACUAGCAAAAGAGCCCGUGCGUUGCAACGGAAGAGAAAAUAACACACGUUCUGAACGCAAUAUAUUUUCACAUGUCAUCAUAUUUGUGUUGCCGACGAUGGCUUUAGUGCUCACACAAUGAAAACGCGUUUGAAUAUACAGUCACUCAAAAUAAGAUGAGAAAUAUGUUGUUUCUCCCCACGAGGUUUUCCAAAGGUGUGCAUGUGUUGUUAGCGAUGUUUUCUUUCCUCUCAAUUUAGUUUUAAUUUAAUGGAUGUUUAUUGCAAUUCGUAUCGUCGCCGGAAAGAGAGAGAAAAAUGACGUGCACUACAGAUUAAGUUUGCACAAAAAUAAUAUUUAAGAAGUAUUCAACAGCUAAAAAUAACAUCCUAUUUAGACUCUACACAUUUUUUUAAUCAAAUUUCAUAUAUAAAAUGUUAAAAUCAGAGUUACGGUUUAAAAGAUAUGGAUAAUUUUGUUUUAGAUAAAAUGUGGAUUGAUUAAGUGAAAAGUUAGGUUUUUUUUGUUAAAAUACGGAGGGCGGAUUGAUUACCUGAAACAUCAGGGGGUUUCAAAAAAAAAUGCAAAAAAAAGGUUCGUUUUCUGACUUAAAUCCGGACUGCGGGUUGAUUACCUGAAACAUCAGGGGAUUUUCUGAAAAAUGCAAAAAAAGAUUUGUUUUUGACUCAAAAAAGGACUGCGGGUUAAAUACUGAAAAAGCGAGGGGCAUUUUUACAAAAUGACCGCAAUGGACGGCAAAAGCGCUCCGCGCUUUAUUAUUAGAAAGAGAAUAAAACGUCUAUGCGUUGUGAGGGGCCUUCAGUUGUAUAAAACAUGAUGAAGUUUUUACGUCUUUUAGCGCCAUCGCCUCAACACACUGUUGAUAGUUUCUUUUUAAACGUCAACAUAAUGCAUCUUCACAUAAUGCAUCUUCGUCUCUCUCAUAUUGUACAAAAGUAAAUAUAUAUAGAAACACAUCUUUUUUAUCAUGCGCUACAAAUUUGUUAUUUCAAUUUAAAUAUGUAAAGAACAAUUAUUUUUAUACAUCUCUUUUGAUGGUUAAAACUUAAUAAUUUUUGGUAUGAUCCAUUACAAAAAUGACUUGUUAGGGUAAUAUACAAGUAUGUGACAUUUCUCUUACAGCAAACAAUCGCUUUCCAAAAAAAACAAUGCUUCUUUUCUUCUUAUUGAAAAAAGCAAUUCAUUUUCUCAUUCUCCCACCGCAUGGCACAACGCUCACAUUGACAUCUCAUACCCCCCAUCUUGCUCUUGUCGUUGAUGUUGUUGGAAUAAAAACACACGGCGGUGUUCAGCCCGCACCUUCCUCUCAGCUAAACCCGUUCAUGGACAACCCGGUCCGGAGGCCCGAACCCGAAGCCCGACAUACGGGCCGCGCUCGGGCUCCACUUUCUUGCCCGAAGCCCGUCCCAAAAGCCCGAAAAAUACGUAUACACUUUUUAUUUGAAAUAUAGAUAAAAUAAAUUAAUAUAAUAUUUUGGAUAAAAUAAAUUUAUUUAAAAACACUGUUCAUGUACUUCUGGCCGGCCUGGGCUCAGGGUUGGAAUUUUUUUCGGACUUUAGAAGGGUCCAUCCUAAAUAAAACUAAUAGUCUUGCGGACGCCAUAACACUUCUAAUACUUGAACUUGAGAGACAAUUUGUUCAUAUGCAUCCUUGCAUACAAAGGAUUUUCCUUGAGUUCUCUAAUAUUCAGCUUGCUUUCGUUAAAGGUGUCGCCACUAUAUUUCUAGCCCACGAAUUUAGAUUCAUUAUGAAAGAGGCUAAUAAAUUUUUGCUCAUUAUAAAAUUAAUGGUUGAUGUCCCCCCAUUGAGGAGAUCCUUUUUAACCGAGAAGAAAUAAUGAGAUUGCAGUCCCCGGAUUGUGUGGCUUAUAAUGAAAUUUUGAAAAAAGGGUUCCUAUUGAGGUUUUGGUUGAUAGAAUUUCUGAACUCAAUGAUGAUUUUGCUAUACAAAAUAAUGGAUUAGAUUUCAUACUAAGAGAUAAACUUAUGACCUUUCGCCAAAGGAAAGCCUACAAUGAUGAAUUAAUCAUACACUAUAGAGGGCCGAAGGAGGAACCUAUUCCUCCCGCACUCGAUCUUAAUGAUCCUUAUCCUAUUAAAUUUAGACCUUUUGAUUACUUUUGGUUGCCACAAAGGAAACUUGCUACUGAAAGAAGGGAGUAUGAGAAGAGCAUCGAUAAUCUCCCUUACUAUUAUGAUAAUACCUAGAUCUAUUGGGUUAUGCCUGGCUAGGGAGUUAAAAAAUAGCGCUUAUUGGGAGGCAACCCAAUUUUAUUUAUUUUUAUUUUGUUUUUGUUUUUGUUUUUGUUUCCUGCACAUAUUAUUACUUAUGUAAUAAUUGUGUUUUCUUGUUUUAAUUUGUGUUUGAGCCAAGUAAAACCUUUGGGAUGGUCCACGGUGUUUGCAAGUUGAUUCUGGUGAAAAACAGAAACUUUUGCCCUCAGUCCAGGAAUUUUAUAAAUUCCCUAAAAACGUGCUUUUGAUCUAAAUGUUUUUACAAAAGAUUGGUUUACUAAUUUCCCAGAUUGUUUCAGAAUUUUUGGAGUUACGAAAGUUACAGAAUGUUUCAGAAUUUUUGGAGUUACAGAAGGAUUCGAAGUAAACAGAUUGCUAUAGAUUGUUCUGUUUUUUGACAUAUUCUGUUUUCUUUGUGUUGUUUUCUUAUUUUGAUGAAUCUAUGGGUUGUAUUGGGAGGUAUGAACCAUGGAGAAGUUGGAAUACAGUAAAUAUUACAUCAAUAUAAAUAAAGAAUGAGUUCACAAUAGUACCUAAAUGGGAAUUUAUUUUUCUUAGACUAACGGAUCUCAUGAGUUUUCUGUUGAGUUUUGUGUUGUGAAGUUUUCAAGUUUUGGGUAAAGAUUUGAUGUACUACGGAAUAAGGAGUGGCAAGAGCCUAAGCUUGGGGAUGCCCAAGGCACCCCCAAGCUAUAUUCAAGGAUACCAAAGAUCCUAAGCUUGGGUAUGCCCCGGAAGUCAUCCCCUCUUUCAUCUUCAAUCCAUCGGUAAAUUUACUUGAGGCUAUAUUUUUAUUCACCACAUGAUAUGUGUUUUGCUUGGAGCGUCUUGUAUGAUAUGAGUCUUUACUUUUUAGUUUGCCAUAUAACUAGUGGAUUAAAUCUUUUGCACAACCACUUAGUUUUCUUUUUGAGAUUUCAUACACUUAUAGCUCUAGUGCAUUUGUUGCAUGACAAUCCCUACUCACUCACAUUGAUAUCUAUUCGUUGACAUCUCCAUAGCCCGUCGAUAUGCCUAGUUGAUGUGAAACUAUCUUCUUCCUUUCUUUUUGCAACCUCCACCACAUUCUAUUCCACCUAUAGUGUUAUAUCCAUGGCUCACACUCAUGUAUUGCAUGAGAGUUGAAAGGCUUUGACAACAUAAAAAGUGUGAAACAAUUGCUUGAUUUUCAUUGGGGUUGUGCAUGAUUUAGAUACGUUGUGUGGUGAAGAUGGAGCAUAGCCAGACCAUAUGAUUUUGUUGGGAUAACUUUCUUAGACCAUGUUAUUUUGAAAGGAAGCAAUUGCCUUAUUAGUAUGCUUUAAAUAUUAUUGUUUUUAUGUCAAUAUUAGACUUUUAUUUUGAGUAUUAUGGAUCUGAAUAUUCAUGGCACAUUAGAGAAUAUUACAUGGAUAAAUAUGUUAGGUAGCAUUCCACAUCAAAAAUUCUGUUUUUAUCAUUUACCUACUCGGGGACUAGCAGGAAUUAAUCUUGGGGAUGCUGAUACGUCUCCAACGAUCUAUAAUUUUUGAUUAUUCCAUGCUAUUAUAUUAUAUGUUUUGGAUGUUUUAUAUGCAUUUAUAUGUUGUGUUAUAAUAUUUUUGGGACUAACCUAUUAAUCUAGAGCCUAGUGCCAGUUUCUGUUUUUUCCACGUUUUUGAAUAUUGCAGAUAAGGAAUAUUAAACGGAGUCCAAAUGGAAUAAAAUCUCCGGAAAUAUUUUUCUUGGACUAAAAGACACGCAACAGACUUGGAUUAGGGGGCAAGGCAGUUGCUGGGAGGCCACAAGCCUACAAGGCGUGCCCUGGGGGCUGGGAGGCCACAAGCCUGCAAGGCCGCGCCGCUUGGCUUGUGGGACCCCUACAAUUCUCCUAACCCUAAUUCUUGUCCUAUAAAUUCCCAAAUAUUCCUGUAUCGCCAAAAAGAGCCACGAAAAUACUUUUAUGCCGCCGAGAGCCUCUGUUUUCGAGAGAUCCAAUCUAGGAGCCUUUUCGGUAAUCUGCCGGAGAGGGGAUUGAUCAGGGAGGGCAUCUACAUCAAGUCCAUUGCCCCUCCGAUAAAGCGUGAGUAGUUCACCACAGACCUACGGGUCCAUAACUAGUAGCUAGACGACUUAUUCUCUCUCUUUGAUCUUCAAUACCAUGUUCUUCAUGAUCUUCAUGGAGAUCUAUCUGAUGUAAUACUCUUUUGUGGUGUGUUUGUCGAGAUCCGGUGAAUUGUGAGUUUAUGAUUCAGAUUAUCUAUGGACUUAUUUGAGUCUCUUCUGAAUUCUUACAUGCAUGAUUUCAUAUCUUUGCAAGUCUCUUCGAAUUAUUGGUUUGGUUUGGCUAACUAGAUUGGUAGUUCUUGCAAUGGGAGAAGUGCUUACUUUUGGGUUCAAUCUUGAGGUGUCCUCACCCAGUGACAGUAGGGGUAACGAGGCAUGUAUUGUAUUGUUGCCAUCAAGGGUAAAAAAGAUGGGGUUUUCAUUAUAUUGCUUGAGUUUAUCUCUCUACAUCAUGUCAUCUUACUUAAUGCGUUACUCUGGUCUUCAUGAACUUAAUACUCUACACGCAGGCAGGAGUUGGUUGAUGCGUGGAGUAAUAGUAGUAGAUGCAAAAUCGUUUCGGUCUACUUGAUACAGACGUGAUGCCUAUAUGCAUAAUCAUUGCCUUAGAUAUCUUCAUGAUUAUUCGCUUUUCUAUCAAUUUCUCGACAGUAAUUUGUCCACCCACCGUAUUAUUUUCCUUUAUGAGAGAAGCCUCUAGUGAAACCUAUGGCCCCGGGGUCUAUUUUCCAUAUCAUAUUUUUAGAUCUAUAAACCAAAAAUACCAAAAAUCCUUUGUUGUAAUUUAUUUACUUUAGUUUUACUUUCAGAUCUAUCAAUAUUUUAUAUCUAUCUCUAUCAGAUCUCAUCCUUGCAAAUAACUCUGAAGGGAUUGACAACCCCUUUAUAGCGUUGGGUACAAGUGUUUGAUAUUUGUGCACGUACUACUAUUGGAGCCUUGCUUGUUCCUCCUACUGGAAUGAUACCUUGGUUCUCAACAAACUGGGGAAAUACUUAUCUACUUUGCUGCAUCACCCUUUCCUCUUCAAGGGAAAACCAACACAAGCUCAAGAGGUAACAGGCCGCCAUGUGCUCGUCCUUGGGUUUGCACUUCUUGUUGGAGAAGUUGACGAGGAGCUUGUAUUCCCCCUUCACAAUGAGGCGCUUGACACCAAGAGCUGAGGCAGCCUUGAGGCCGAUGAAUAGGACUUCGUAGUCAGCAAUGUUGUUGGAAACCUUCAUGUUGUGCCUGAAGCACAACUGGACUACUUAAUAAAGCAUGUCUCCUUUCAAUGAAGUAAGCACCACGCCAGCCCCCGCGUCCUGCAUGGAGAAGGCGCCAUCAAAGCGCAUGACCCAGCUGCAAGGCGCUUCGUCCCCCGAUAGGGUGGAUUCGCCCUCGCGGGGCUCCUCUUCGCUUGGGCCCAUCCAAUCAAAGACGAAGUCCACCACGGACGCACCCUUGAUGACCCUAGUGGUGCAGAAUUCUAGCUCGAAGGCUUGCAACUCGAUGUUCCACUCGGCGACCCUGCCAACGGCGCUAGGGCUGCGCAGGAUCUACUCUAAGGGAUAUGUAGAGAUAACCUUGAUCGGGUGACCCUGGAAGUAGUGGUACAUCUUCCUGGAGGCGACGAGGAGCGCGAGGAGGAGCUUGUACUGCAUGGGAUAACGCUUGCGUGCAUCCCUUAGUAUUGUACUCACAUAGUACACGGGGUGCUCCACGUGCCUUGUGAUCGUGGUGUCGUCAUCGCACCCGUCGAGGGGCUCAUGAGGUGAAGCCACGGGGGCUUCCAAAGGCGCGGCGUCCCAGGUCUCGGAGCCUCCUACGGUGAGGCAGUCUCCCGAGGGAAGGCGUCCCUUGGGAGGAGGGUAGCCUCGUGAGAAUGGACGCCUCCUAGAGUGGGGCGGACUCUAGAGGGGGACUCGUGCUUAGCUCCGAUGGGGCCCGUGCAAGCCCCUGCAGCGCGAGCUGGGUGGCCUCCUGCUACUUCUUGGGGCGAGCAGGGCCUUCCUACUCCACCACGAGGGUCGUGCUCGACGUCUGAGGGGUUGGUGCCAGGUCAACAGCACGCGCUCGCGAGGUCGUGGUGCGACCAUGAUGGGGGGGCUCAUGAGGUCCCGUUUGAUGUCCGCGAAGGUCGUGUCCGCCUCAGGGGUCCCUGCAAAUGGGCCCAAACUUUUCAUCAGCUUGAAUAACGGCAAUGCCCGCUCGCUGAACUUGGAGAUGAAGCGCGUGAGGGAGGCUAGGCACCCCGCCACCUUCUGCAUUUCCUUGAGGGUUCGGGGAGGGCGCAUCUGCUCGAUGGACUUGACCUUCUCUACGUUUGCUUCUAUCCCUCGAUGCGACACAAGGAAGCCUAAGAUCUUGCCAGAGGGGACCCUGAAGACACACUUGUCGGGUUGAGCUUUAGGUUGACCUUUCACAAAUUGGUGAAAGUUUCCUCCACGUCCUCGAUGAGCGUCCUAGCCUCACGCGUCUUGGCCAUGAUUUCGUCAACAUAAGCCUCGGUGUUCAUCCCAAGCUGGGCCCUAGCGCAAUCUGCAUUAGCCGUUGGAAGGUGUCACCCACUCUCUUCAGGCCGAAGGUCAUGCUCACAUAGCAGAACAUCCCUCAAGGGGAGACGAAGGUUGUCUUUUCCACAUCUUUUCCCGCCAUCUUGAUCUUAUGGUGGCCCGAGAAGGCGUGCAAGAAGCACAGUAGAUCGCAGCAGGCGGUGGAGUCCAUGAUCUCGUCGAUGCAUGGGAGCGGGAAAGGGUCCACUGGACAGGCCUUGGUGAGGUUGGUGAAGUCAACACACAUCCGCUCCUUUCCGCCCUUCUUGGGGAUGAUGACAUGGUUAGCGAGCCACUCCAGGUAGCGCACCCCGCGGAUGACCCCGGCCUCCUGCAGCUUCUGGACUUCCUGCACGAUGAAGUGCUGCUUUUUCGGUGCUUGGUGUCGCACCUUCUGCUUGACAGGGCACGCGUUGGGGCACAACGCCACGUGAUGCUCGAUCAUGUGCCUCGGCACCCCGGUUAGGUCGGUCGCCUUCCACACGAACACAUCCGUGUUUUCCCUGAGGAAGGCGAUGGGCGCGAUCUCUUGCUCCGGAGGGAGGUCGACACCAAUGGUGAAGGUGGGACCUGAGCCGCUGUCAUUUAGCGGCACCUUCUUCAUCUUGGUCUGGUCUUCCGCGAACUACAAUUUCUUUCUCGUCGGGUCCACCUCAGGAGGCACCGCCUCGCCCCCGUCGGCCGCACACACAACUGUCGGGGCUUUGCGCAUUUGCUUGAGGCAGCUCACGGCGUCCCUCUCGUCGCAUCUGAUGGUCAGGACACCGCUGCUGCCGGGGAUCUUGAUGAUGUUGUAACCCGGAUGAGUCGCCGCUAUGAACCUCGCGAACGUAGGGUACCCCAGGAUGGCGUUGUACGGGAGGCCGACGUACGCCACAUCAAAGUCAACGAGCUCGGUGCGGUAGUUGGAGCGAGUGUCUAAGGUGACGGAGAGACGUAUCUGGCUGGAUGGGCCGCAGUCUCGUGGACCACCCUAGAGAACGAUGAGGUAGGCUUCAACUGGCCGUAAGGCACCUGGAGUGCCUUGAAAACCGCGACGGAGAAGAUGUUGAGCCCGGAGCCCCCGUCGAUGAAGGUCUUGGUGACGGCGACCCCGCCGAUGGUGGGGGUGCACACCAUGGGGAGAGCACCUGAGGCUACCAAAGACCCGAGGCGGUCCUCCGCACCGAAGGUGAUGCCGGUAGCGCCCUAGCAGGCCCGGGAGCGGCCCCUCGAAGCCCCAUGUUCUGUCACCCCUCGAGAGCCGCGCCCAUCCUGCGGAAGGUUGGCUUGGAGUGUCGGACAUCGCCCGGUGCCUGGGUUCUUCCCACGAUGCAUGCGACCUCGCACCAUCCCCGGCGCGCCGCGGUACCACCGUCAUCCAGGGGCGGGUGAAGCUGACGCAUGCCUGGGCCAAUGCCUCAGGAGAUGCGCUCUGUAUCUCCCGCAUGCAUUAGCAAGUGGCAAGGCGGUGGGGGAAGCGCCGUGGCCCCUCCGGGAACGGCGGUGAGCCUGACGCGCCGGCCCUGCCCGGCGACGGGCCCUGCGCACGCUAGUUGAGGACGGAGGAGCUCGCGUGCCCUGCGCAGUGAGGUGUGGGCGUUUGGCUCUCCGCGCUCGGCGCGAUGGAGGCGGGCCACAGCGCAACCGUUGUCCUGCUGCCUAGAAAGACGCGAAGGAACCUCCUGUCCCUGGGCGACGGGUCCAUCCAAGGCGGUGGUGCUGACGCACCGAGCGACCGCCUGCUCGGCGUGCGGAUGGUGGGCGCCCGCCAUGGAUUCGGUGAAGUCUUAGUCGAAACCGGAGUCGGAGAACGGCUGCGCACCCCUACCCGGCGUGCCAAAUGUCGAAAUCGAGGCUCUGCGGACCCCGGGAGAGGUUUGAACUCUACGGUGCACUUGCUCUCCAACCCUGUUCUACCUCUCAACUUCAUAGCGACUCUCCAGCGGCUCAACCUAAGGAAAGCUAACGGGAACACACGGCAGUUUACCCAGGUUCGAGCGACCUUGAAGUGUAAAACCUUACGCGUGCUUGUUUUGGAUUGCUUGAUGUGGAAUACGAGUGCAAAUGUGGGUUUUUGCCCUAGGGGAGAGGAUGACGCUCGGAUCCCUGCUACGGAGGCUGGGCCUCUCUUUUAUACCGACCUUGGUCGUCUUCCCCCGAAAACACAAUUGGCGAGAAGGGUUGCCACAACGACCAUUUUGAAAGGGGACAGGACUGCGGCCCGUCCUGACAAAGGUGGUCUUCGCCUGCAAAAGCCCUUCUCCAUGACUCGCUGGUGGGCUCGGGGGUGACCUUCGUCUCGCCGAGCCCCCAGCCUUGGUCCUCUUGCACCGAUCAGGAAACCUUUGGGAGAUGCUUCGGGGCCUGCCAGCUCGCCUCGCUUCCUUAGCACGAAAGCGGAAAGCUCUCCUUCCCAUGCCUGCUGGCACCGCUCCUGCGCUGCCUACGCAACUUGCGUCACCUACGUGGGGCGUUGACCGUGGGGCCCUGCCAGGCUGCCCUCGGUGAGUCUGCCUCGCGAGGGCCUCGGGGGUAGCCUCGGGGCGCAUCCUCGCAGAGAGAGCCCUUGAAUAGUCCUUGACGAUGACCCUCUUAUGCUUGCCUCGCGAGGGUCUUCCUCGUUUAGCCCGCCGAUGGGCCGCGCCGGGUAUGAACGGCCGUGCGGCGCCUGGGGCCAUAGGCCGACGGGCCUGGGUACCGCCGCUCCCAUGGACCCGACAGUUACAUCAUCAAAUAUAUAUCAUUUAUUGAAGUUGGCUCUUUUUUAAGAUGUAAAAAAACUUUUUUUCAUGAUGUAAAUAGUACAACACCGACCUUUAAUACUUUAAAUUUACAUCAUCUGUUGAAGAUGCUCUAAAUUUCUCUAUUUGUUCUGAGAUAUGAGUUUUAGAAAAUCACACAGGACUAAUAUCUUCAUUCGAAAUAGAUAGGAAAAAAAAUGUUGAUUCCUUUUUUGCUUUUUCUUUUUAGCAAAUCAUUUUUUUCAUUCUAAAAAUCUUGCCAUGCAUAUGUAUACACAUAGGCGACAUUAGUUAACCUGAUUGAAGAGGUUGUUAAUGCAUGCAUGGAUGUAUGGGCGCCCACAUGUUUUUGACGUGAUUCCAAAAAAUUCCGUUCUUGGUAGAUGUGGCAGUACGUACGAUCUGUACUUGCUGAUAACUUGUUUAGCUAGGCUAGCAUGAGCCAUGCAUGCAUGCAUGGAGCACGAGGCAUUAGAGUACUUGGGAAUGUACACAUAUGCAUGUGAAAACGUAUACGUGCUCAUCAGCCACGUCCGUCGAUCGUCCUCAUCCACGGAACCGGGGCGGGGUCGCAUGCAUGGCAUGUGAUCGAUCCGAAUUCUGAGCACAUUGUGUUAUGCGUCGACGUAGUAUGUACGAUGCGAUCGGAGAUCUUCUCGUUUCUUUUUCUGAGUGCACGUACUAUGAUGCGAGAUGCAGUUUUGAGAGUGGUGACCGUGUGCAUGUGUGUGGGGGCAAACUUUCGUGUUUUUGCUUUUUACGUAAGUCAGUCGGGGAAUUUUUUUGAAUCUGACCCUUUUGCUACCGCCGAAGGCUUUGACGGUAGCGUAUACAACUUACCGCCAAGUUCCCUGACGGUAGGGUUGCACACCUACCGUAAAAAGAUUUCUAGGUUGCAGAUCCAGUACGUGCGAGUAUGUACCGCCGGAUCCCUUGAUGGUAGAGUCACAUGCGCUACCGCCAGACUCUUUGACGGUAGUCUAUUUUCCUACGGUCACGGGCCUUGGCGGUAGGUUGUUAUACCCUGCCGCCAAGGUCUUCGGCGAUAGCAAAAGAGUUAGAUCCAAUUUUUUUUCCGAUCAGUAUUAAAUUCAGCUGGACUUAUGUAAAAAUGUCAAAACAAUGAAAUUUGCCGUGUGUGGGUUAACUUAGCAUGCACGUGGCAUGCAUGUAUGGAACGAUAGGUCAAUAUCUAGCUAAGCUACUCUUUCUUUUUUAGGGAGCUAGCUAAAAGCAUCUCUAAUAGACCCCGUAUAAUGCCCGAUCCAUAAAAUAAUCAUUAAAAAAAAGAUCGGGGUGGAAAAUGUUCACAGAUCAGAACAGGCAAACGCGUUUGACCCGUAAAAUUUUUUGAGGGGCGCGGGACCUGCGAAAGCACAUGUUUUCAUCUUGUUUAUACGAUGCCGUGUAUCGCAGGUAAACGGUUGGCGGGACGGACAUUUUAGUCCGCGCCCUUUCACCACCCUCACUAAUAGAAAAAUGGCAUUUUGUCCCGGUUCGUAAGGCCUUCUGUCCCGGUUUCUGAACCGGGACAAAAAGGUCGUUACUAAUGCCCUUGGCCUUUGGUCCCGGUUCUUACACGAAUCGGGACAGAUGGGCCUCCACGUGGCCGGUGCGGCGAGCCCAGGCAGGAGGCCCUUUGAUCCCGGUUGGUGACACCAACCGGGACCAAUAGGCAUCCACGCGUCAGCAUUUCAGGUGAUGGGGUUUUUGUUUUUUUUAAAGAGGAGGGGGGUUAGGGGGUUUUGGGGAGGGGGGGUUAAUUUAGGUGUUUCAUAUUUUGUGUUAGCUAGCUAAUUAAUAGAGAGAAGUGUCCUCUCUUAUAUCCGUGCUUGGUCGACGCUACAUACUAUAUGUAUAGAGAGGACUAGACACGCUAGCCAGUAAGAAAAUGAAGGAAACAGAAGAUCGUCAUGAACAUAUGCAUACAGAGAGAAGUGAUAUCGACCACCUCUCCUUCUCUGAGGGAUUGGUCGAAGAACAAGUUCUCGUAUAUCUAUCCGACGCUUCUGGCUACAUAUAUGCAAUAUAAUUAUCUCUUACAAUAUAAUCUCCUAAUUAAAAUUCAACUGAUUAGGGUUCACAUGAUAUUCUCCGUCUUUAGCGAUCACGUGGUCAAGAAAGAAUGCCGCCAAUUCCUCUUGAAUUCCUCGCAUACGGCCUUCUGGUAGGAGUUCAUUCCGCAUCCAAAAUAUCUAAUUUGAAGAAGGGGGUCAAUACAUAUAUAUGAAUAAAUGAAACUGAACACAAAUGAUGGUAAUAAAAUAAAAUUGUGAAUAUUAUUAUUUACGCACAUCAUAUUGUUUGUCAGAGUAGCCCCGCUCACAGGUCGUGUGGCGGAUGAACUCGCAAACGUAGUAUCCACAGUAAUCAAUCCCUGGUUCCUGCCACAACCACUUUACAAGAAAUAGAAGUCAAUCAAACCGAUAGUUAGCAAGCAUGCUAAAUGGUAUUGAUGAAACUAGCGCUUGAAUCACUAGGAGAUGCGUGGAACAUGCUACUAUAGUACUUACUUUCGGGUGUCUGAAUUGCAGCUUCUUCGGAAGUCCCGGAGUUUUUGAGGUGAAUUUUUUCCAAACGCUGCAGAAAACAAUUACUUGAUAUCAGGAAGUGAACAAAGUUGCCGAUAUGGUGUGAUAAUGAUCGAUUUAACUUCUGUAGAAUUUCAGUCAUGUCCGCAUAAUCGUUGGGAUCUUUUCGUCUCGAGUCUAAGACAGUUACUAGUCCCUGCUCAAGCUUAAUCUCUAGGAGAAUAUAGUGGAAGCUGCGCACGCAUGCAUAACUCAUCAAUUACAUUACUAUAACCUUGACUAAUAAGGGAAAGCGAAUAUGCACAAGACAGUAAUACUCACUGGAAUUCGUAAGGGAAGAGUAUUAUAGCUUUGUUUUGAUUCAAUACAAACGAUUAUAGCAGGUUGGCCUCGGUAUCUUUGGCCUGAAAUUCAAUCAUAAAUGCAUCUACGAGAUUUGUGUUAAUGAACCCAAUAUCACCGAUUUGUCUUUUCUUCAAUUCUACGAUCUUCAAUCUGCAAAUAAUAUAAUAAGGAUAAUUAAAAAUACAUGCAAUGAAAGAGCUAACCUAUAUAUAGAGACUUAAUGGCAGAAGUAGUACUACUUACAGGCAGUAGCAAGUGAUUAUUAAUUUAUCGAGGGCCAGGAGAUUGAAAAACGGGAAGAACUCCUCAAAUGGAACAUUCAACAGUUCAAGUCCAACGAGGUCAUGCUUCUCUCUAACUCUCAGCGUCAAAAUAUUACUCCCCUCAGACUCUUUGCAGGUUUUCAUGUACCAAUCAUGGAAUCUUCGCAUCAUCGUUGUUAGAGAUCUUUCAUCUUUGACGAGAGGCUUCCCGUACACAUAUUUGUGUUCGUCCACCUCCAAUAAAUCAAAAUAUGCAUCGUCGGGCAGGUAAUCUGCAAGAUUGGUACCGGGCAACAAGAUCCCUAGAUGAUUAGCGACGAUAUCGCUAGACACCUUGAGCGGGGGGGGGGGGNGGGGGGGGCGGGGGGACGAUUGGUUCGCUUGUUCGCCGAGCUGGGCAACUUUUUUCCCGGCUCGUUGUUCUGCUAACCUUUGACCACUGAUAGUACUUCCCGACCACUCCGCUUCGAUAAAUGACUUUGUAAUAAUGUGCUCAUAGUUUCCUUUCGCUGGAGACUUGACUGGUUUCUCCAGGGCAGCCAGAGUACGCUUCGGUUUUACCGGAUCUAUGUUCUCCUCCGGAGGUGGAUGAUUCUUUGCUUUCACCCCUUCAAAGUAGUUUUUAACUUUGGCUUGCACGAUCUUCGCGUUUUUCUCCUGGCUCCUCUCGUAUGGUAACUUCUCUGGAGUCUUCAGAGAAGGACCAUAUUUGUAUUGCCUGCCUCUAGCUGUACUGCUAGACGCCGGAUCAGACGGAGCGAUUGCAGCUGUCUUUCCUUUCUUACGAGGCGGAGUAGAAGGACGACGCGCCGGAGCAAUCGGAGCGGCGGCGGGUCUUUUCCGCCCUUGUUGACGAAGCGGNNNNNNNNNNNNNNNNNNNNNNNNNNNNNNNNNNNNNNNNNNNNNNNNNNNNNNNNNNNNNNNNNNNNNNNNNNNNNNNNNNNNNNNNNNNNNNNNNNNNNNNNNNNNNNNNNNNNNNNNNNNNNNNNNNNNNNNNNNNNNNNNNNNNNNNNNNNNNNNNNNNNNNNNNNNNNNNNNNNNNNNNNNNNNNNNNNNNNNNNNNNNNNNAUCACUCGCCGGAGGAGGAGGCGGAGGAGGAGGCGGAGGAGGAGAAGGAGACUAAGUGCCCUAAUCACUCGCCGGAGGAGGAGGCAGAGGAGGAGAAAGAGAUUGAGUGCCCUGGUCACUCGCUGGAGGAGGAGGCGGAGUGCCCUGACUCGCCGGAGGAGGACGAGGAGACGGAGGCGUCCAGUUCGGAAGGUUGAUGAGCUCCUUCCGCCAUAAGCAUGAAGUCUUCAGAGAAGAACCCACCCGAAUCUCCCCUUCACCCGUAGGGUGGUCAAGCUGAAGGUCCUCAAAUCCGUCCAUUAUUUGAUCCACCAUCACCCUAGCAUAUCCUUCUGGAAUCGAUCGGCCAUGGUAGGUUGGGCCAGGUUCAGUAGGUAAAACAACUCCAACAACCGCCUUUACUUUUAAUGUCAUCCAUCGCGCCAUAAGGUGGCAAUGUUGAGACUCCGUGAUAGCAUCCACGGGGUAGCUAGCAGGAGCCGUGAAGACAUGCUCCAGCUGCUGAGUCUGCUCGGUGGAAGCCACGCUGCUUCUCCGCUGAGAUGGUGGGGUAGCUUCAAGGGAAGCUUCGGCAGGUUGUUUGCUGCGAUCUGCUUCUUGUUCCUCUAGCCCUUGUGCCCUUUCGUGCAGCGGCUGCAGUUCUCUAUGAUCCACUUUCUUCCUCCUCUCCUGGCAUUUGUAACCCCCUGCGUCCAGAAACCCAACCUUCCACAGAAAGGAGCCUCGUGUGCCUGUAUCCGUCCAGGGUGCUCAGGAUUCCUGAGGGACAUUGUGAGCUCGUCCUUCUCUCUGUCUGGAAUGAACGUCCCUUGCUACGCUUUCUUGAUAUACUCCUUAAGCCUCGUGACGGGUAUUCGCAGUUGCUCUUCCGUCCAAACGCAGUUCCCUGAUACAGGGUCCAAGGUUCUGCCAACCCCGAAGAACCAAGUCCGGGAACGGUCUGACCAGUUCAAUGUCUCUGGUUCGACCCCUUUAGCAAUCAGGUCAUUCUCAGCCUUGUCCCACAAAGGUCGGGCUUUGAGGUAGCCACCUGACCCCGUGCAAUGGUGAUGCUUCUUCUUCGCAGCAUUUUCCUUGUUUGUCGUUGACAUCUUCUUACUCUUUUCCAAUGUCUUGUGGGCCACAAAUGCGGGCCAGUGAUCUCUGAUCUUCUCAAACCGGCCAGUGAAUUCUGGUGUAAUUUCUUUGUGGACAAACGUUUUCAACUCAUUCUUCCACCUCCUGAAUAGUUCUGCCAUCUUCUUAAGAGCAUGAGACUUGAUCAAUUGCUCUAUAACUAGAUUCUCCAGAUCCUCCUCUGGCGUAGGGUGAAAUUUGCCUUAAGCGUUGUCCAAAGAUCUUCUUUCUGCAUAUCGGAGACAUAAGACACCUCACGGUCUUCCUUCUUAGGCUUUAACCGUUGCUGGAUACUGAUGGGGAUCUUGUCCCUAACAAGAAGCCCGCACUGAUUAGCAAAUGCUUCCUUUCUCCGGUACGGUUCAAUCGGCUUGCCAUCACGCGCGAUUGCUGUGAUCUCAAACCUUUCAUCCGAGUGCAACUUUUCUUCGGGCCUCGUCUCUUUACCGAAGUUGUGCUCGAUCCGGAAAGCUAGAAAAAGAAGAAAGACGAGAGUUAAUUAAUAUGUGUACAUACGAAAACAAUGAAUGCAUCAAUUAGCUAGUCAGCACAGGCUUAACUAAUAUAUAUACCUGGCCGGACUCGGUUCGGUCACCGGAGUCAUCAUAAUCAUAGCCUUCUUCUUGUACCGGCAUUAAUGGGUCACCGAAGCCAUCAUAAUCAUAGCCUUCUACUUCACUCUAUCCUUCCAGACCAUCGGUGUCGUUGAGAAACGACAAGACGACAUCCCUUCCUUUUGCGAUUAUUUCCCCCAAAAUCUCUUAUGUUGCUUCGUCUCGGGGGUGCUCCAUAGUUUCUACAAAUAUUUACAACAUGGAAAUUAUUAUUCAAACAUGACAGAUGGAUAUAUUAGUGGCAAACAUAGAAUUAGCUAGCUAAUCACAAUAAGGAAUCAUAUUAGUUGCCUCGAUGCUGCUUCUCUAGGGUUUGGGGUGGCCUCGGCAACGCUUCAAGGGUUUGAGGUGGCCUCGACAAUGCUUCAAGGGUUUGGGUGGCCUCGACGACAACGCUCUUUUAACUUGGUAAAUUUGGGUGGCCUCGAGAGAGUUUGUAGGGUAGGGGCGCGGCGGGAGGGGGUAGGAGACCAACAUCGUUUUUUCUAGGGUUUGGGUGUCCUCGAGAGUUUUGGUCGAGCGAGAGGGCCGGGGCGGGGGAGGGGGUGCUCCCGUGGUAUAAGUUAUCACGGUCGAGAGGGGGUAUAUAUAUCGACCGCCCCUCAUGUCGAAGUUAUCCGGGAGGGGGUCGAUAAUUAAAGCGGAGUUUCCGCUCUCCCACUAUGUGAAUCUCCAAUCACGUUUGCUCCAAUAUCAAAACUAAACCAUUUAAAAGCAAUCGUGUGGGAUCUAUGAAAAAUUAAACCAGUUAAAACUAAGAAAUUACACUCAUGAAUAACUUAAUAGCAAAAUCAUAAAAUGCAAAAAUCAUGAGUUGUUUGUCUUUAAUGACCUUGACAUAUGACAGGAAAGGCACUAGGGAAUAUACUUGAUUUAGUGGGAAAAUAAACAUAUACUCUAGGGAAUAAAUUUGAUUGAGUAGAAAAAUAAUCAAAGAUGUCGUAAAUUAGCAUAUCAACAUAUGCAUAUGUAGAAGCGGCAUUGCCGAGAAGCCGAGAAACAGACACAGUUUAUAAAAGAGAACAUGGGUAGAAAACUGUCCUCUCGUGGCAUGGUACCUUGAAUAUCGUUUCUUUUGUAGACAUCCUCAAAAUUAUUAUAUACCAAAAAAAUUGUAUUGGCUUGAACACAGAAGUGACCAUGAGCAGUCAACACAGAAGCUAGUGACCAUGAACGGUGACAAAUGUUCAUAUUUCCGCCGAAUACAUGUCUAACAAACCCCCAAGUGCAUAAUCAGAUUUAAUUAUGCAAAAACAUAAAACAAACAAAUUUGGCGGCAGAGGAGGGCCUCACAGUAGACGUCGGCGGGUUUGUCCACCACGACGAGCCACUCGUCCUCGAACACGACGGCGGCGGAGGAGUAGGCACCAGAGGCGAAGAAGAAGAUAGGGGCAGGGGCGACGGGGCGGGUCGGGGGUGCGCGGCGUCGGUGUAGAGGACGGUGGCGUGGUUGGUGUAGUGGACGACGGCGUGGUCGGGGCGACGCCGGCGACGACCGCGUCGAUGGGGCGGAGGGACGACAGCGUCGACGGGGCAGGGGCAGCGUCGAGGCGGCAGGGGCGGCGUCGGCGUCGGGAUCGAAUGGAGAGAGGGGGGAGAUCAAAAUUUCUAAACUUCCGCUUAUAUAGCCCCACCUUUAGUCCCAGUUGGUGGCACCAACCGCGACUAAUGUGGGGCAUUGGUCUCGGUUGGUGUCACCAACCGGGACUAAAGGUCACUUUUCAGCAGCCCGAAGGGCGGGAAGCAUAGGCCUUUGGUCCCGGUUGGUGGCACCAACGGAGACUAAAGGGGGCCUUUGGUCCCGGUUGGUAGCACCAACCGGUACCAAUGCCCCCCUUUAGUCCCGGUUGGUGCCACCAACCGGGACCAAAGGCCUUGCGCGGUGCGGUGCUAUGUUUAGUCCCACCUCGCUAGCCGAGAGGGGCUCGCAGUGGUUUAUAAGCCCUGCCGAACCAACCACUUCGAGCUCCUCUCUACUGCAGGCUUACGGGCCUAAAAUCAUUUUGUGUGCUUGUGGGCCUGUUGGGCCUACUACGGGCGUGCAUCCUCGCCCUAGUAAUGGGUUUCUAGUCGUAUGCACGCCGUGGUGGCCCUGUAGGUGGCACUUUUUUUAAAAAAUAAUCCAGUUUUUUGAUUUCUUUUUUGUUUCUAAUUACUUAUUUAUUUUCUUUUAUGAUAAUUCUUUUUGCUAUUAAAGUUUGUAACAAAAUUUGAAUUACUUAUUUAUUUUGUUUUAUGAUAAUUCUUUUUUGCUUUUAAUGUUUUGAACAGAAAAUACUUUGAUAAUUUUAGUUGCAUAAAUUCUAUAUAAUUUUAGUAUCAAGUUGGCAUGGUAUCAUCAUUUCACCCACAUAGCAUGUGCGAGAAAGUAGAGAGGGUUACGACGAAAACUGGAUACACUCCGUGUACAAAACGGACAAUCUCUUUUGAAGUAUCAGGGUUUCAUACGUAAACUCGUCUGUUACAAAGGGAUUUCAUUUUUUUGAACUUAUUUGAACUCCAUAGUUUUUUCUGUGUUCAGAAUGCACCAUUCAAAGCCACAUCAUCAAUUUACAGCCCUUUCUGACUUCAUUUGUUAUUUUUCAUGCAUUUACUCAUUAUUUUGAGCUAUAAGACCAUGAAAUUGAAAUGAACUCUGAAAAGGUUCCAAGUUGGCAUGGUAUCAUCAUUUCAACCACAUAGCAUGUGCGAGAAAGUUGAGAGGGUUACGGCAAAAACUGGAUGCACUUCGUGUACAAAACGGACAAUCUCUUUCAAAGUAUCACGGUUUCAUACGGAAACUCGUAUGUUACAAAGGGAUUUCAUUUUUUUGAUAUUAUUGGAACUCCAUAGUUUUUCUGUGUUCAAAAUGCACCAUUCAAAGCCACAUCAUCAAUUUACAACCUUUUCUGACUUCAUUUGUUAUUUUUCAUGCAUUUACUGAUUAUUUUCAGCUAUAAGACCAUGAAAUUGAAAAGCAUUUGAAAUAAACUCUAAAAAGGUUCCAAGUUGGCAUGGUAUCAUCAUUUCACCCACAUAGCAUGUGCGAGAAAGUUGAGAGGGUUACUGCAAAAACUGGAUGCAUUUUGUGUACAAAACGGACAAUAUCUUUCGAAGUAUUAGGGUUUCAUACGGAAACUCGUCUGUUACAAAGGGAUUUCAUUUUUUUGAACUUAUUUGAACUCCAUAGUUUUUCUGUGUUCAAAAUGCACCAUUCAAAGCAACAUCAUCAAUUUACAACCCUUUGUGACUUCAUUUGUUAUUUUUCAUGCAUUUGCUGAUUAUUUUGAGCUAUAAGACCAUGAAAUUGAAAAGCAUUUGAAAUGAACUCUAAAAAGGUUCCAAGUUUGCAUGGUACCAUCAUUUCACCCACAUAGCAUGUGCGAGAAAUUUGAGAGGGUUACGGCAAAAACUGGAUGCACUUCGUGUACAAAACGGACAAUCUCUUUCGAAGUAUCACGGUUUCAUACGAAAACUCGUGUGUUACAAAGGGAUUUCAUUUUUUUGAACUUAUUUAAACUCCAUAGUUUUUCUGUGUUCAAAAUGCUCCAUUCAAAGCGAGAUCAGCAAUUUACAACCCUUUCUGACUUCAUUUGUUAUUUUUCAUGCAUUUACUGAUUAUUUUGAGCUAUAAGACCAUGAAAUUGAAAAGCAUUUNNNNNNNNNNNNNNNNNNNNNNNNNNNNNNNNNNNNNNNNNNNNNNNNNNNNNNNNNNNNNNNNNNNNNNNNNNNNNNNNNNNNNNNNNNNNNNNNNNNNNNNNNNNNNNNNNNNNNNNNNNNNNNNNNNNNNNNNNNNNNNNNNNNNUUCCAAGUUGGCAUGGUACCAUCAUUUCACCCACAUAGCAUGUGCGAGAAAGUUGAGAGGGUUACGACAAAAACUGGAUGCACUUCGUGUACAAAACGGACAAUCUCUUUCGAAGUAUGAGGGUUUCAUACGGAAACUCGUCUGUUACAAAGGGAUUUCAUUUUUUUGAACUUAUUUGAACUCCAUAGUUUUUCUGUGUUCAAAUUGCACCAUUCAAAGCCACAUCAUCAAUUUACAACGCGUUCUGACUUCAUUUGUUAUUUUUCAUGCAUCUACUGAUUAUGUUGAGCUAUAAGACCAUGAAAUUGAAAAGCAUUUGAAAUGAACUCUGAAAAGGUUCCAAGUUGGCAUGGUAUCAUCAUUUCAGCCACAUAGCAUGUGCAAGAAAGUUGAGAGGGUUACGGCAAAAACUGUAGGCAGUUCGUGUACAAAACGGACAAUCUCUUUCGAAGUGCGAGGGUUUCAUACGGAAACUCGUCUCUUACAAAGGGAUUUCAUUUUUUUGAACUUAUUUGAAGUCCAUAAUUUUUUGUGUUCAAAAUGCACCAUUCAAAGCCACAUCAUCAAUUUACAACCCUUUCUGACUUCAUUUGUUAUUUUUCAUGCAUUUACUGAUUAUUUUGAGCUAUAAGACCAUGAAAUUGAAAAGCAUUUCAAAUGAACUCUGAAAAGGUUCCAAGUUGGCAGUGGUGACAAUUUUAACACAACACAUGAUAUCCAUUACAUCUAGGGCACAACAUUACAUUUGCUCAAGUUCACAACAGUGCACAAAUGAUAGAAUUACAUCUAGGGCACAACACACUAGACGAAAUAGAAACUAAACUAGCCACAAUGUUGAUGCCAAGAACAAAGAGAAAACCCAUUGUUUCCAUGAGCUCAUUCCUUUUCUUCAACUUCAAUUGCAUUUUCUUGUUUUCAUUUUUCUGAUCCAUAACCUUCUUCUCCAUCCUACUAGCUUUGAUCCAACUACGUUCAAGGCCACCAUGGAGCUCCUAAAAAGCUUGCCCCACUAGCUCAGUGGGAGGGGGGGUCAAUCCAAACAACCCAAUCACACUCAUCAGGAAGUUGUUAGAUCAGAGUUCACAUAAUUAGGUGAAAUUCAUAACUUUGCAAUAAAUCGAUGAAAACAAAGUACUGAUACGUCCAUUUGCAUCAUGCUUUCAUGUUGAUAUUUAUUGCUUUUUGGGCUGUUAUUUCACUUCACGGUACAAUACUUAUGCCUUUUCUCUCUUAUUUUGCAAGGUUUACAUGAAGAGGGAGAAUACCGGCAGCUGGAAUUCUGGCCUAAAAAAGGAGCAAGUUUGAGAUGCCUAUUCUGCGCAACUCCAAAGGCCGUGAAAAUCCAUGUGGAUUUUUUGGGAAUAUAUAAAAAAAUACUGGGCAGAAAAUGUACCACAGGGGCGCCACCUGGACGCCACAAGCCUGCCAGGCCCGACCUACCCCCCUGGCCAGGGCUGGAGGGCUUGUGGGCCCCAUGUUGCCCCUCGGGCGCUCAUCUUUGGCUAUAUGAAGGGUUUCGUCCGGAAAAAAUCAGAAGGGAGCUUUUUCGUGGAUUCGCCGCCGCCACGAGGCGGAACUUGAGCAGAACCAAUCUAGAGCUCCGGCAGGACGAUCCUGCCGGGGAAACUCAUCACCAUCAACAUCUUCAUCAGCACCAUCUCAUCUCCAAACCCUAGUUCAUCACUUGUAACCAAUCUCCAUCUCACGACUCCUAUUGGUACUGGUAAGGUUGCUAGUAGUGUUAAUUACUCCUUGUAGUUGAUGCUAGUUNNNNNNNNNNNNNNNNNNNNNNNNNNNNNNNNNNNNNNNNNNNNNNNNNNNNNNNNNNNNNNNNNNNNNNNNNNNNNNNNNNNNNNNNNNNNNNNNNNNNNNNNNNNNNNNNNNNNNNNNNNNNNNNNNNNNNNNNNNNNNNNNNNNNNNNNNNNNNNNNNNNNNNNNNNNNNNNNNNNNNNNNNNNNNNNNNNNNNNNNNNNNNNNNNNNNNNNNNNNNNNNNNNNNNNNNNNNNNNNNNNNNNNNNNNNNNNNNNNNNNNNNNNNNNNNNNNNNNNNNNNNNNNNNNNNNNNNNNNNNNNNNNNNNNNNNNNNNNNNNNNNNNNNNNNNNNNNNNNNNNNNNNNNNNNNNNNNNNNNNNNNNNNNNNNNNNNNNNNNNNNNNNNNNNNNNNNNNNNNNNNNUUAAACCCUAGUUUAUGCAUUGCUUCGUAAGGGGCUGAUUUGGAUCCACUAGUUUAAUGCUAUGGUUAGACUUUGUCUUAAUUCUUCUUUCUUAGCUGUGGAUGCUUGCGUGAGGGGUUAAUCAUAAGUGGGAUGCUUGUCCAAGUAAGGGCAGUACCCAAGCGCCGGUCCACCCAUAUAUCAAACUAUCAAAGCAACGAACGUGAAUCAUAUGAACAUGAUGAAAACUAGCAUGACAGAAAUUCCCGUGUGUCCUCGGGAGCGUUUUUCCUCCUAUAAGACUUUGUCCAAGCUUGUCCCUUGCUACAAAAGGGAUUGGGACACCUUGCUGGACCGUUGCUACUUUCGUUACUUGUUGCUUGGUACAAAUCAUCUCACCAUACAAUCACUUGUUACCGAUAAUUUCAGUGCUUGCAGAUAUUACCUUGCUGAAAACCACUUGUCAGAUCCUUCUGCUCCUCGUUGGGUUCGACACUCUUACUUAUCAAAAGGACUAUGGUUGAUCCCCUAUACUUGUGGAUCAUCAAGACUCUUUUUUGGCACCGUUGCCGGGGAGUGAAGCGCCUUUGGUAAGUGGAACUUGGUAAGGAAACAUUCAUAUAGUGUGCUGAAAUUCAUUGUCACUUGUCACUAUGGAUACUAAUCCUUUGAGGGGCUUGUUCGAGGUAUCUUCACCUCGAACGGAAGCAAAAAUAGUUGCUCCUCAACCUACUGCACCUACUGAAAAUAUUUGCUUUGAAUUUCCUUCGGGUAUGCUUGAGAAACUGCUGGCUAAUCCUUUUACAGGAGAUGGAACAUCACAUCCAGACUUGCAUCUAAUCUAUGUAGAUGAAGUUUGUGGUUUAUUUAAGCUUGCAUGUUUGCCCGAGGAUGAGGUCAAGAAGAAGGUAUUUCCUUUAUCUUUGAAGGAUAAGGCUUUGACAUGGUAUAGGCUAUGUGAUGAUACUGGAUCAUGGGACUACAAUCGGUUGAAAUUGGAAUUUCAUCAAAAGUUUUAUCCUAUGCAUUUAGUACAUCAUGAUCGGGAUUAUAUUUAUAAUUUUUGGCCUCGUGACAGAGAAAUCAUCGCUCAAGCUUGGGGGAGGCUUAAAUCAUUGUUAUAUUCAUGCCCCAACCAUGAGCUCUCGAGAGAAAUUAUCAUUCAGAACUUCUAUGCUCGGCUUUCUCAUGAUGAUCGCACCAUGCUUGAUACUUCUUGUACCGGUUCAUUUAUGAAGAGAGAUAUUGACUUUAAAUGGAAUUUAUUUGAGAGAAUUAAAUGUAUCUCUGAAGAUUGGGAGCUUGAAGAAGGUAAGGAGUCAGGUAUGAAUUUCUAGUUUGAUUGCGUUAAAUCCUUUGUUGAAACAAAUGCUUUUUGUGACUUUAGCGCUAAGUAUGGACUUGACUCUGAGAUAGUAGCUUCAUUGUGUGAAUCAUUUGCUGCUCAUGUUGAUCUCCCUAAAGAGAAGUGGUUUAAAUAUCCUCCUCCUUUAGAAGUCAUUGUAGUUAAUCCCAAUCCAGUUGAAGAGAGAGUCAUUGCCUAUAAUGAUCAUGUUGUUCCGAGUGCUUACAUUGAGAAACCACCUUUCCCUGUUAGGAUAAAGGAUCAUUCUAAAGCUUCAACUGUGAUACAUAGAUGCUACAUUAGAACACCUACACCCCCUGAGCAAAUUAGAGUUGAACCUAGCAUUGCUAUUGUCAAAGAUCUUUUGUCCGACGAUGUUGAGGGACAUAAUAUUCACUUCUGUGAAGAUGCUUCUAGAAUUGCUAAACCUCACGCUAGAGACAAACAUAGGCCUCUUGUUGGCACGCCUGUUGUUUCUGUUAAGAUAGAAGAUCAUUGCUAUCAUGGUUUAUGUGACGUGGAUGCUAGUGUUAGUGCAAUACCUCAAUCCUUAUAUGAUGAAAUCAAAGAGGAGAUUGCGCCUAUUGAGAUAGAACCUAUUGAUGUCACUAUUUAGCUUGCCAAUAGAGAUACUAUCUGCCCUAUGUGAAUUGUUAAGGAUGUUGAAGUCUUGUGUGGUAAAAUGAAGUAUCCUGCUGAUUUCUUCGUUCUUGCUACCACCCAAGAUAGCUUUUGUCCCAUCAUAUUUGGCAGACCUUUUCUCAAUACCGUCAAUGCUCAUAUUGAUUUUGAGAAGCAAACCGUCACUAUUGGCUUUGAAGGUGUGUCACAUGAGUUCAAUUUCCCCAAGUUUGGUAGACAACCUCAUGAAAAAGAGUUGCCUAGUAAGGAUGAAACUAUUGCCUUAGCUUCUAUUGCCGUGCCUCCUACUGAUCCCUUAGAGCAAUACUUGCUUGAGCAUGAAAAUGAUAUGCAUAUGGAUAAAAGGGAUGAGAUAGAUAGAGUUGUCUUAGAACAAUAUCCUAUCCUUAAGAAUAAUCUGCCUCUUGAACUGCUUGAGGAUCCGCCCCCACCAAAGGGUGAUCCUGUAUUCGAGCUUAAACAGUGCCUGAUACACUUAAGUAUGCUUAUCUUGAUGAAAAAGAGAUAUAUCCUGUUAUUAUUAGUGCUAGCCUCUCAGAGCAUUAAUAAAAGAAGUUACUAAAAACUCUGAGGAAGCACCGUGCUGCUAUUGGAUAUACUCUUGAUGAUCUUAAGGGAAUUAGUCCCACUCUAUGCCAGAGCAAAAUCAAAACUGAUCCUGAUUCCAAACCAGUUGCUGAUCAUCAAAGGAGAUUAAAUCCUAAGAUGAAAGAAGUAGUGAGAAAAGAAAUACUAAAGCUUCUAGAAGCGGGUUUUAUCUAUCCUGUUGCUCAUAGCGAUUGGGUGAGUCCGGUGCAUUGCGUUCCUAAGAAGGGAGGCAUUACCGUUGUCCCUAAUGAUAAGGAUGAAUUGAUCCCACACAGGAUUAUUACUGGCUAUAGGAUGGUGAUCGAUUUUAGGAAAUUGAAUAAGGCCACUAGAAAACAUCAUUACCCUUUCCCUUUUAUUGACCAAAUGCUAGAAAGACUGUCUAAACACACACACUUCUGCUUUCUAGACGGUUAUUCUGGUUUCUCCCAAAUACCAGUUGCACAAUCUGAUCAGGAGAAAACCACUUUCACCUGCCCUUUCGGUACCUUUGCUUAUAGACGUAUGCCUUUUGGCUUGUGUAAUGCACCUGCCACCUUUCAAAGAUGUAUGAUGGCUAUAUUCUCUGACUUUUGUCAAAAGAUUGUUGAGGUUUUCAUGGAUGAAUUUUCCGUUUAUGGGUCUUCUUUUGAUGAUUUCCUCAGCAACCUUGAUCGAGUCUUGCAGAGAUGUAAAUACACCAAUCUUGUCUUGAAUUCGGAGAAGUGCCACUUUAUGGUUAAUGAAGGCAUCAUCUUAGGACAUAAAUUUUUUGAAAGAGGUAUUGAAGUCGAUAAGGCUAAGGUUGAUGCAAUCAAGAAAAUGCCAUACCCCACAGAUAUCAAAGGUAUAAGAAGUUUCCUUGGUCAUGUUGGUUUCUAUAGAAGGUUCAUUAAAGACUUCUCUAAGAUUUCUAGGCCUCCUACCAAUCUCCUACAAAAGGAUAUUCCUUUUGUUUUUGAUGAUGAUUGUGAGGAAGCCUUCGAAAUACUUAAGAGGGCUUUGAUAACUGCACCUAUUGGUCAACCACCUGAUUGGAACUUACCCUUUGAAAUCAUGUGUGAUGCUAGUGAUUACGUUGUUGGUGCUGUUCUAGGGCAAAGAGUUGAUAAGAAGUUGAAUGUUUUUCACUACGCUAGUAAAAUUGUAGACAAUGCCCAAAGAAACUAUGCUACUACGGAAAAGGAAUUUUUAGCAGUCGUGUUUGCAUGUGAAAAGUUCAGGUCUUACAUAGUUGAUUCCAAAGUCACUAUUCACACUGAUCAUGCUGCUAUUAAGUACCUCAUGGAGAAGAAGGACGCUAAACCUAGACUUAUCAGAUGGGUUCUCUUGCUACAAGAAUUUGAUUUGCACGUUGUGGACAGGAAGGGUGCUGAUAACCCUGUAGCACAUAACUUUCUAGGUUGGAGAACGUUCUUGAUGACCCACAACCUAUUGAUGAUAGCUUUCCCGGUGAGCAACUGAGUGUCAUCAAUGCUUCACGUAGUGCACCGUGGUAUGCUGAUUAUGCAAACUAUAUCGUUGCCAAAUAUAUACCACCUAGUUUCACAUAUCAGCAAAAGAAGAUAUUCUUCUUUGACUUGAGACAUUAGUUUUGGGAUGAUCCUCGCCUUUAUAAGGAAGGAGUAGAUGGUGUCAUUAGACGUUGUGUACCUGAACAUGAACAUGGACAGAUUGUACAGAAGUGUCACUCCGAGGCCUACGGAGGACACCAUGCGGGAGAUAGAACUGCACACAAGGUAUUGCAAUCAGGUUUCUAUUGGCUCACUCUCUUCAAGGAUGCCCGUAAGUUUGUCUUGUCUUGUGACGAAUGUCAAAGAAUAAGUAAUAUUAGUAAAUAUCAGGAAAUGCCUAUGAACUAUUCACUUGUCAUUGAACCAUUUGAUGUCUGGGGCUUUGAUUAUAUGGGACCUUUUCCAAAAUCGAACGGGUAUACUCAUAUCCUAGUUGCUGUUGAUUAUGUCACUAAGUGGGUAGAAGCUAUCCCCACUAGUAGUGCUGAUCACAACACCUCUAUCAAGAUGCUUAAGGAAGUUAUCUUCCCUAGAUUUGGAGUCCCUAGAUAUCUAAUGACCGACGGUGGUUCACAUUUCAUUCAUGGUGCUUCCCGUAAAACGCUUGCUAAGUAUGAUGUCAACCAUAGAAUUGUGUCUCCCUAUCACCCUCAAUCCAGUGGUCAAGUAGAGAUAAGCAAUAGAGAGAUUAAACUGAUUCUGCAAAAGACUGUCAACAGGUCUAGAAAGAAUUGGUCUAAGAAGCUCGAUGAUGCACUGUGGGCUUAUAGAACUGCAUAUAAGAAUCCCAUGGGCAUGUCUCCGUACAAAAUGGUGUACGGUAAAGCAUGUCAUCUACCUCUUGAGUUAGAGAAUAAAGCUUAUUGGGCUAUUAAAGAGCUCAACUUUGAUUUCAAACUUGCUGGUGAGAAGAGGUUAUUUGACAUUAGCUCGCUUGAUGAAUGGAGAACUCAGGCAUAUGAAAAUGCCAAGUUGUUCAAAGAAAAGGUUAAGAGGUGGCAUGAUAAGAGGAUACAAAAGCGUGAGUUCAGUGUAGGUGAUUAUGUCUUGUUAUAUAAUUCUCGUUUAAGAUUUUUUGCAGGCAAGCUUCUCUCUAAAUGGGAAGGUCCCUAUAUUGUUGAGGAAGUAUAUCGUUCUGGUGCUAUCAAAAUCAACAACAUGGAAGGUAAUUGUCCGAGAGUGGUAAACGGGCAGAGAAUCAAACAUUAUAUCUCAGGUACUCCCAUAAAUGUUGAGAGCAACAUUAUCAAUACCAUAACUCCGGAGGAGUACAUAAGGGAUAUUUUUCAGCCUGUUUCAGACUCCGAAAACGAAGAGGUAUGUGAUUCGGUAAGUAAACCGACUCCAAAACCUUUCCCGUAGCAAUUUUCCUCUGUUUUGGAAUAUUUGAAAAAUUAGAAAAAUUUAAAGCAGUCCGGAAAGUGCCCGAGGAGGCGACAAGCCUCCUAGCCCCGACCUACCCCCCUAGUCGGGGCUGGAGGGCUUGUGGCCACCUCGUGCGCCUCUCGGCCUCCAUUUUCGUGUGGAGUACUCCUUCUGGUCUGGAAAAAUCAUUAUAUAUUCUCCCGAAAGGUCUGACCUCUGUAUCACGCAAAUUCCCUCUAUUUUCGUUGCGACAUUGUUUUCUGCCGCAAAUCUAGGCCAAGAUGUCUUCUCAGGAUUCAGAGGGGGAGAGUUAUGUGGCUGAUUACCUCGCUAAAUCCAAGGUCUAUGGGGACUUGGAUCCUUAUGGGUGGACCACUCAUGAGGAAGAACAUUAUGAUCCCAAGGGAAAGGAACAAACAAGUUCCGAUGAAGAGGUGGCUCCUCUACCUCAACCUGGACACACGCAUGUGGAGUUCAAGAAGUCGAGCCUCCCUGAUUCAAGGAAGAAACCUAAGACUUUGUUUAUCCCUUGUCGUUUCUUGCAGGAGAGUAAGCAGGAAUUAUGCCAAAGGGUGUUGAAGCUUGAAGAAGAAAAUGACGAUCUGAGGGAGCAGAAUUUUAUGCUCAAGUGGAAAUUAAACAAGCUCAAGACCUCUUCAACAACUCCACCACCAUCACCUCCAAAGGAAUACAACUGAGCAUGGGUAUGCGCAAUCCCCUUGGCUUGUGCCAAGCUUGGGGGAGUUGCCUCGGUAUCGUAUCACCAUCAUAUCUUUUGCUUUUACCUUUGUUUUAGUUUGUUCAUUUUCAGUUUUCUCUUUCUCUAGUAGAAUAAAAGUCUUAGUGUUUUAGUCUUGAUUUUUGCUUUGUGUCACCCCCGAUGUAUUUGAGCUCGUGAGCCAUAUAAUAAAGAGUAUCUUAGUUGAAGGGCUUUGCCUCUUGCCAUGAUCAAAAUAUCGAGAAAGAACAAAAGCAUGAAAGAUCAUAUAGUGAUCCUAUGGGAAGUGAUGGCUUCACAUAUAAAAAGGAUGAUGAUUGAAACUUGUUGAGGGUAGACAAACGUAGACCUUGGUCAUUGUUGCAAUUAAUAGGAAGUGAUAAAGAAGGAGAGGUUCAAAUAUAAAUAUAUCAUCCUUGACACCAUAUGUGAUUGUGAACACUCACUAAACUAUUACAUGCCUAGAAGUAGAUGUUGGACAAGGAAGACAACAUAAUGAAUUGUGUUUGCUUGGUUCCGAACAAUGUUAUAUGAUUAGAGAUCCCUUAGAAUGUGACGAUUGCUUCCACCUCAUGUUAGCCAAAACUCCCGCACCAAGUAGAGAUACUACUUGUGCAUCCAUAAACCUUCAACCUAGUUUUGCCAUAAGAGUCCACCAUACCUACCUAUGGAUUGAAUAAGAUCCCUCAAGUAAGUUGUCAUCGGUGCAGGCAAUAAAAAUUGCUCCCUAAUAUGUAUUGCUGUUCUAAUUUUUGUCAUGAUGCCUGCAUGUUCGUAUCUUGUUUUGUCGACACCUCUCUCCCUAAACAUGUGGUCAUGUUUAUUGAGCUAGGCUUUCGCUUGAGGACAAGCGAGGUCUAAGCUUGGGGGAGUUGAUACGUCCAUUUUGCAUCAUGCUUUCAUGUUGAUAUUUAUUGCUUUUUGGGCUGUUCUUUCACUUCACGGUACAAUACUUAUGCCUUUUCUCUCUUAUUUUGCAAGGUUUACAUGAAGAGGAAGAAUACCGGCAGCUGGAAUUCUGGCCUGAAAAAGGAGCAAGUUUGAGAUGCCUAUUCUGUGCAACUCCAAAAGCCGUGAAAAUCAAUGUGGAUUUUUUUGGGAAUAUAUAAAAAAUAUUGGGCGGAAGAAGUACCAGAGGGGCGCCACCUGGAGGAAGAGUUUAUGUUCAGAUCCUUGUAGUUGAUUACUCCUUGUAGUCGAUGCUAGUUGGAUUAUUNUGAAGUGAACUACUCACGAGUCAUUGGAGGGGCGAUGUUGAUGAUGAAGAAGCCCUCCAUCUCUAAAGUCCCCUCCGGCAGGGUGCCGGGAAGGGUCUCCAGAUGAGAUCUCGCGGAAACGGAAGUUUGCGGCGGAGGAAAAGUAUUUUCGAGGCUCCCCUGAUUUUUUGCGGAAUAUUUGGGAAUUCAUAGGCGAAAGACCAGGGUCAGGGGGCGGCCAGGGAGGCCACAAGCCUGCCCACCGCCGCCUCCCCCCUGGUGGCGGAGUGGGGGCUUGUGGGCUCCCUGGAGCCCACCUAGCUUGGCCCAAAAGCCCCCUGGACUUCUUUCGUUCGGGAAAAAAUCAUUUUGGGGUUUUUCUUCCGUUUGGACUCCGUUCCAAAAUCAGAUCUGAAAAGAGUCAAAAACACGGAAAAACAGGAACUGGCACUUGGCACUGAAUUAAUAAGUUAGUCCAGAAAAGAUAUAAAAAGGUACAUAAAACAUACAAAGAAGACAAGAUAAAAACGAGAAAACAUCAAAAAUUAUAGAUAUGUUUGAGACGUAUCAAGCAUCCCCAAGCUUAACUCUUGCUCGUCCUCGAGUAGGGAAGUGAUAAGAAUGAAUUUUUUAUGCUUUCAUGCUACCUAGCAUAGGUGUCCUUUGUAAUUCCUCUUAUGUGACGUGAAUGUUCAGAUCCAUUAGAUUCAAAACAAUAUUUUGCUAUUGACGUGGAAACAAUAAUAAUUCAAGCAAACUAGCAAAGUAAUCAUGAACUUUCAAAAUAACAAGGACAAAAGAAAGUUAUCCCUACAAAAGCAUAUAGUCUGGCUAUGCUCUAUCAUCAUUGCACAACGAGUUUAAAUCAUGCACAACCCCGGUAUUGGCCAAGUAAUCGUUUCACACCUUUACUUUCUCAAACAUUUUCAACUCUCACGCAAUACAUGAGCGUGAGCCAUGGUUACAACACUAUAGAUGGUGUGGAAUGUGGUGGGGGUUGCAAGACAAAAAUGAGAAGAUAGUCACAUUAACUAGGCAUAUCAAUGAGAUGUGGAGAUGCUCAUCAAUAGAUAUCAAUGUGAAUGAGUAGGGAUUGCCAUACAAAUGAUGCACUAGAACUACAAGUAUGUGAAAGCUCUAAAAGAAAACUAGUGGGUGUGCAUCCAACUUGCUUGCUCACGGAGACCUAAGGCAAUUUUGAGGAAGCCUAUAAUUGGAAUAUACAAGCCAAGUUAUAUAAUGAUAAUUUCCCACUAGCUAUAUGGUGGUGACAAAACGAGAGACUCUCAAUCAUGAAGAUCAUGGUGCUCAAAAUGCACAAGUGUCGAAAAAGUGGUAGCAUUGUCCCUUCUCUCUUUUUCUCUCAUUUUUUAUUAUUUUUAUUUUGGUGGGCUCUUUGGACUCUUUUUUAUGGGCUUCUUUGGCCUCUUUUAUUUCCUCACAUGGGACAAUGCUCCAAUAAUGAUGAUCAUCACACUUUCAACUCAAAACUUAGAGCAAUUAUGACUCUAUAUGGAAUGCCUUGGGUAGUGUACCGUGGCAAUGAUCUAGCAUGGCAUAGACAUCAAUGGAAACAUCAUGCUAGCUAUCUUAUGAUCGUGCAAAGGCAAUGUAGACGUGGUGGCACAUAUCAUGGUGGUAGUUGCAUGGCAAUAUAUCUCGGAAUGACUUUGCAAAAGUCAUAGUAGGUAGGUAUGUGGCUCUUUUGAGGGAGGCUAAUGGUGGGUUUUGUGCACCAGCGAAAGUUGCACGGCACUAAGAAUAUAGUGAUGGUGGAAGGUGAAAGUGCAUCUAAACCAUGGAUUCAACAUUAGUCAUGAAGAACUCAUAUACUUGUUGCAAAAGUUUUAUUAGAAAUCGAAACAAAGCAUUCAACGCAUACUCCUAGGGGAAGGGUUGGUAGGUAUAAACCAUCAUGCGAUCCCGACCGACACGCAAAGGAUGACAAUCAAUAUACUAAUCAUGCUCAGACUUCAUCACAUAGCGGUUCACCAUACGUGCAUGCUACGGGAAUCACUAACUUCAAGACAAGUAUUUCUAGAUCCACAACACCUUACUAGCAUGACUUCUAUAUUACCAUAACCACAACUCAAAACUAAUUGAGAUGAAUCAAACUUCUCUAACUAUUCAAUGUACAUGAAGGUGGAAGUUUUCGUAUCCCUUUGGAUAACUACCCCUUUUGAGACUAAUUUCAAAGCAUAGAUCAACUACCAAGCCACGCACCGCUGUGCUCUAAAAGAUAUAAGUGAAGCACAUAGAGCAAAAGUAUCUAGCUCAAAAGAUAUAAGUGAAGCACAUGUGAGCUGAAUUGUCUACCAAAAGAUAUAAGUGAAGCUCGACAAAAUCACGGUGAGUGAAUGUAUCUCUCUCUAGGUGUGCAGCAAGGAUGAUUGUGACACAAAAAUACAUAAAAGACUCCCACGAUACAAGACGCUCCAAGCAAAAACACAUAACAUGUGGUGAAUAAAAAUAUAGCCCCAAGUAACGUUACCGAUGGAUUGAAGACGAGAGAGGGGAUGCCUUCCCGGGGCAUCCCCAAGCUUAGGCUUUUACGGCAUCCUUGAAUCUAUUGGGGUGCCUUGGGCAUCCCCAAGCUUGAGCUCUAGCCACUCUUUAUCUUUUUGUCCAUAAGAACUUCACCCAAAACUUGAAAACUUCACAACACGAAACUUAAACAGAAACUCAUGAUAACAUUAGUACAAGAAAGCAAACCACCACUUCCUUAGGUACUGUAGCAAACUUAAAUUAUACUUGUGCUGAUGUUGGGUUACUGUACUUUCAAUCUUCCAUGGCUAAUACCCCCCGAUACUAUCCAUAGUUUCAUCAAAAUAAGCAACCAACAAAACAAAAACAGAAUCUGUUCACAGCAGACCAGUCUGUAGCAAUCUGUAUGUUUAGUAUACCUCUGGUACUUUAAAAAUUCUGAAAAAUUACGACAGUCUGAAGAAUUUGCGUAGCAAUCAGUAUCAAAAAGAAUCAACUCAAUAUCUCUUACAGAAAAAAGUGAACAUUCUUUUCGUGAGCAGAAAGUUUCUGUCUUUUCCAGCGUGACCAAACGAUCAUCCUCAAGACUAAUCAUAACGGUUUUGCUUGGCACAAACGCAAAAAGAAACACAAAAAACACAAUCAUAACAGAAUUAUGAAAGUGUGUAAAACAAAAAACAGAAAGAAAAAGGAUAGAUUCAUUGGGUUGCCUCCCAACAAGCGCUUUUGUUUUACGCCCUUAGCUAGGCAAAAGUGAUGGAAUCACGUAUAGUUAUCUUUGGUACUCAAACCAUAAGUAGCGUGAUCAUUUAUCAUCUUAAGAUUUUCAUCUUUAUUAGAUGAAUCACCACUAGCUCUAGGAACAAAAACAGGCUUGACGGUCUUUUUGAGAGUAAGAUUUGGAGUAUUUUGCAGAGCGGCAAAAGCGGAACCCAAGUUGGUUAUGACAUCUUCUAAUUUGCCAAUUCUAGAAGAAUCAUUAACUAUAAGUUCCUUCUCAUUUAAAUUUUUCAAAAAGUUUCCCACUUUGGAUCUGUACUGAGUAAUUUGAUUGUGGAUCUUUCUAUCCAAACCCUCAAUAAGUUCAACUGUGGCAAUUUUGUUUUCAAUAGCGUCAAGCCUUUGCAUCACGUGUUCCAAGGUCAAGGUAGUUCCAUUAACCAUGAGCGGGGGUGAGCCUACCAAAUUAAUGAUAGCUCUAUAGGAGUCAACAAUAUGGCUCCCCAAAAAGUUCCCGCCUACAAUGGUAUCAAGGAUAUACCUAUUCCAAGGAGAAAUUCCAACAUAGAAACUGCGAAGGAGGACGGUAGUGGAUUGCUUACGAGUUGAUCUACUUUGAGCAUUGCAAAUCCUGUACCAAGCGUCCUUCAAAUUUUCUUCCUCAUUCUGCGUGAAAUUGAGAACUUCAUUUUCAGGGAUGUCAUUUGGAGUGGUGGGUCUAGCCAUUGAUGGACUAUCUCACGCACAAACGAGCGGGAAGAGAGAAUGAAACGGGCAAAAGGAAACGGCGAAGGAGAAAGGCGAAUGAAAACGGCAAAUGUGAAGUGGAGGAGAGGAAAACGAGAGGCAACUGGCAACAAAAGUAAAUGCAAGAGAAGAGUUUGUGAGACCAAAUUGGAUAGAUCUUGAUUUCUCCUCCCCGGCAACGGCGCCAGAAAUACUACUGAUGUUUGCUGUGUAUCCCUUGCAACGGCGCCAGAAAUAGUUGUGUCGACGGCACCAGGAAUCCUUCAGCUACGGCUACGCCUUAAGGGACUUCCUAGGCAAGUAUGCAAAGGAUUUCCCCCGUGGCCUUGGAGCCUUGCGUUGGUGUUCCCUCGAAGCGGAAAGGGUGAUGUAGCACAGCGAUGGUAAGUAUUUCCCUCAGUUUGAGAACCAAGGUAUCAAUCCGCGGAAGAAUAUCUCAAGAUCCUGCACAAACACAAAAGCUUGCACCCAACACUAUGAAGGGGUUGUCAAUCCCUUAUAGAUUGUUUGCCAAGUGAGAACUGAAAGCAACAAAGUAACAAAGCAAAGUAAAAGCGGAGAUGUAAACGAUGGAUGUGAAUAGACCUGGGGGCCAUAGUCUUUACUAGUGGCUUCUCUCAUGAAAGCAAGACGGUGGGUGAACAAAUUACUGUCGAGCAAUUGAUAGAACCGCGCAAAGUCGUGACGAUAUCUAUGCAAUGAUUAUUUCUAUAGGCAUCACGUCCGAAACAAGUAGUCCGAUACUUUCUGCAUCUACUACAAUUACUCCAGAAGUCGACCGCUAUCCAGCANAGAACUUUGUAUUGAAGAUCCAAGAGAGAGAAGAAGCCGUCUAGCUACUAACUACGGACCCGUAGGUCUGAAGUGAACUACUCACGAGUCAUUGGAGGGGCGAUUAUGAUGAUGAAGAAGCCCUCCAACUCCAAAGUCCCCUCUGGCAGGGUGCCGGGAAGGGUCUCCAGAUGAGAUCUCUCGAAAACGGAAGCUUGCGGCGGCGGAAAAGUAUUUUCGAGGCUCCCCUGAUUUUUUGCGGAAUAUUUGGGAAUUUAUAGGCCAAAUACCUAGGUCAGGGGGCAGCCAGGGAGGCCACAAGCCUGGCCACCGCCGCCUCCCCCCUGGUGGCGGAGUGGGGGCUUGUGGUCUCCCUGGAGCCCACCUGGCUUGGCCCAAAAGCCCCAUGGACUUCUUCCAUUCGGGAAAAAAUCAUUUCGGGGUUUUUCUUCCGUUUGUUCUCCGUUCCAAAAUCAGAUCUGAAAAGAGUCAAAAACACGGAAAAAAGAGGAACUGGCACUUGGCACUGAAUUAAUAAGUUAGUCCCAAAAAGAUAUAAAAAGGUACAUAAAACAUACAAAGAAUACAAGAUAACAACGUGAAAACAUCAAAAAUUAUAGAUACGUUUGAGACGUAUCAAUCAUCAAGUACCAAAUGAUGUUUUGAGGAAUUACAUUGAGUGGACAACCCAAAAACCUUCUUCCCGUGCUUGCUCCACCCCAAGAAACACGACGAGCAGGAAUUAGCCCAUGCCCCGGGCAACGGUGAUUCGAGCGCUCCUCAAGGCCGUAGAAACUUGGAUUGGGAAUGAAAAACUCGGAUUGGAACUGCACAAUCCCGCAGCCAUCCACCUACGAGACAGAAAGGCGCAUAUUACGGCCCAUCCCGCAAAACCCUAGAUGAGAAAUCCCCAAAUCCAAUGUCAACCGAAAAUCCAAAUCGACUUACCUCACUGUCUACGGAGGAGCUUGCAGACGACAUUGCGGACGUACACAUGGACGUGCCCCAGCGGUGAAAAUAGGGAUGGGGUGUGACGGACCGCUAAAUCUAGUCAAAUCUCGGGAAAAAUGGAGCUCCGAGGUCGAGCUUUGAGAGGAGAAAGCUUAACUAGUGUGGCUCGGGCAUUUCAUCGAACACCUCAUGUGCAUAGGAGGUGAGCUAGAGCGCCCAAAUGCCCUCCCCUCGCCGGCCAGAAAAAACAGAGUGCUCUGCCGUGGCGAUGGGUAUAUAUAGGCAAAUUAUUUGUCCCGGUUCGUGGCAUAAACCGGGGCUAAAGCCCCCCUUCUAAACCGGUUCAAGGCACGAACCGGUACCAAUGGAUGUUGGCCAGGAGCGCAGCCCAUUGGUCCUGGUUCGUGCCUAGAACCGGGACAAAUGGGUCCAGACGAAUCGGGACCAAUGCCCACGAGGCCCCGGCCGGACCCCUGGGCUCAUGAACCAUGACUAAUGCCCCCCCAUGGGUCCCGGUUCGUGAAGAACCAGGACUAAUGGGUUGUCCAGGCCCGAACCAAAGCCUUGUUUUCUACUAGUGCCCCUUCCGCCGUCGAGCUGCCAUUGGUACCCCCAGUCCGCCGCCGGCUCUGGGGCGUUGCUUUCAGCCGAAUCUUCGGGGCGAAUCGUGCCGCUGGUGCGCCGCUGCCCUCUUUCGCCGAGCCGCUGCACCGGCGCCCCUUGAUCCGCCAAUCCACGUCUGUGGGAGAGCCACCGUCGGAGAUGGACUUGAGCCGGAGAUGGAUUCAUCCUCUUCGGAUGACUCGGAUGUUGAGAAGAUGCUUCUGACAUUUCACGAGCAGAGCUUGGUGAUGACCCUUGCUGUGAAGGAGCACGAAGACGAGAAACAAAAGAGGCGGCAUGGAUCCACUGUUGUCCGACUUUGCAUUCCUCGGAAUCGCCAUCUCGGCAGCGAGAUGCUAAUGCGAGACUACUUCAUCGUCAAUCCAACAUACCCGUCGCACCUCUUCCGGAGAAGGUACCGUAUGCGCAGAUCCCUCUUUGUUAAAAUUGUUGAAGCUUGCGAGGCGAAUUGUCGUUAUUUUACUCAAAGAAGGAAUGUCACGGGCUUGAAGGAAUUUAGUGCAUAUGAGAAAAUCUCGGUAGCUAUGUGUGUAAUUUCAUACGGCGUUCUGGCUGACUAUACCGACGAGUACCUUCGGAUUGAGUAAGAUAGUACAAUUGAGUUAGUUCAUAGGUUUGUCAAAGUGAUUGUCUGUGUCUUUGGUCCUCAAUAUCUUCGGACACCGAACGAGGAAGACACAAAAAAGUAUGGCAUUUAACGAAAGAAGAGGUUGGCCUCGCAUGUUAGGGAGCAUAGGUUGUAUGCAUUGGACUUGAAAAAAUUGCCCAAAAGCAUGGCAAGAAAUGUAUUAUGCCAAGUCUCGUGAUGUAAUAAUUGUGCUGGAGACCGUAGCUUCACAUGAUUUAUGGAUUUGGCAUUGCUUUUUUGUAUGUCGGGUACUCUAAAUGAUAUCAAUGUGUUGCGACGAUCUUAUUUGCUUGCUAUACUUGCUAGGGGUGAUGCUUCAGCUUGCAACUACACUAUCAAUGGGCAUGAAUACACAAAAGAAUACUAUCUUGCAGAUGAUAUAUAUCCUUCUUGGUGUAUAUUUGUGAAGGGCAUCAAAGACCCCCAAAGUAGGAAAGAGACUGAAUUCACAAGGGCACAAGAGGCAGCCCGAAAAGACAUUGAAAGAGCAUUUGGGGUUUUGUAAUCUAGGUUUGUCAUUGUUCGUGGUCCUGCUCAAUUUUGGGACAAGCGAUCCUUAAAAAUAUCAUGACAUGCCGUGUUAUUCUUCAUAAUAUGAUUCUCGAAGAUGAGAGAGGCAUGAACUUGGAGUUCUUCUAUGAUAAUGUGGACAGCCGUGUUAAAUCCGCUAGAGAUCCUAACCGAAUCAGAGCUUUUCUUCAGACCUACAGGGUGAUUGAAAAUGCAAACACCCACUGUCAACUUCGAAAGGAUCUCAUUGAGCACCAUUGGCAAAGGGCUGGGGAAUAGCAACAUUCCUUUUUCCAUCCAUUUAUCCAUUUAUUUUCAUUUCAUUCAUGUGUGAUUUGUGUACGGGACAAGUUUUGUAUUUAUGUGUGACAUUCAUUUAGUUUGCUAUGGUGAUUUAAAUAAUUAUUAUACUUUGAAUGAUUAAUGUAUUUAAAAUAUUGACAUUCUGUUUAUUUUGCACAUGAUGAGUAAUUCUAAUUUACGGGGUAUUCGGUUUGUGGGUCGACAGGGCGACGCCUGAGCAGAUCCCGCAUUAAAGACCCGUAUGCUAGCAUCUUCUGCGAAUAUGCUUUUAUACGGAUCCGUUUUGAAGAGUCUGUGUCCCACUCAUGCUACUUGGGACGUGUGAUCUAGUGCACAGUUACACGUAUCAAUGCGGCAGCGGCAUCUUACGUGCAUUGGUUAUCAUGACAGUUGUGCAGUAAACAACGGGAAAACGGGACUUGUGGAGUGUGCGGUAACAAAAAUGCUAAACAUACGGACAACUUCAACAGACUUUUACGGGACAGCAAACGUGGCACCAUCUAAUUUGCCCCCCUGAUUUUCACUCGUGGGGCUGUGCUCUUUAAUUAAAUCCGAAUCAAUCGUCCUUAAUGAGCCCGUAAAUCAUCUGUAAAAAGCCCGUAUGUCUAGCAUUAUUGGUGCGGUAAACAGCGGCUUGGUAGACGGUUGUCGUAAUAUUGUGCGUAAUAUGCAGCCAUUUCCUACUAGUGCGCUCAUCGCCGUUUACGGGCUAAUUCCCCAACCGGCACACACCCCUCUCCGACCUGAACCGGCCAAUGUAUCUUCUUCUUCUUUUUUUCUAAUACUUCUAUACUAUUCCCUGUACGUUGAUUGUUUUUUUGAGGGCUCAUAUUAGGUUUUUUCUUUUUCUUUUUCUUCUUACUUUUAAUUUUUUUAAAUCCGUGAACUUUAUGAAAUUUUGAAUUUUUUUUCUUAAAAUUCAUUAUAAACUUGCAAACUUUUUCUUUCAAAAUCCAUGAACUUUUUUCAAAAUUUUGAUGAUUUCUUUAAAACCAAUGAAAUUAUCCAAUUUUGAGAACCUUUUUAAAAAGUGAUGAACUUGCUUUCAAAUUUGGCGGACUAUUUUUCGGAAUUGAUGAUCGUUUUUUUUAAAUUGAUGAACUAUUUUAAAACCGAUGAUCUUUGUUGAAAUUUCUGAACUUUUCUUCAAAAUCAAUGAACUUUUUCUAAAGUCUCACUUCUUUUCAAAAUUGAUAACUCUUUCCAGAUUUACAUUUUUUAUUGAACUUUUGAAAAGUCAAUGAUCAAUUGGUCAACCUGUAAACUAGUCAACUGAACAACCCGUCAACCGAGGCGUGAUGCAUGCGAGAGCAAUUCGGUAGGGUGACGCCGUACAUGACUAAUGACCCACAAGUAUAGGGAAUCAAUCGUAGUCCUUUCGAUAAGUAAGAGUAUCGAACCCAACGAGGAGCAGAAGGAUCUGACAAGUGGUUUUGAGUAAGGAAAUAUCUGCAAGCACUCAAAUUAUCGGUAACAAGUGAUUGUGUGGUGAGAUGAUUCAUAGCGAGCAACAAGUAACAAAAGUAGCAAUGGUGCAGCAAAGUGGCACAAUCCCUUUUGUAGCAAGGGACAAGCCUGGACAAAGUCUUAUAGGAGGAAAAACGCUCCCGAGGACACACGGGAAUUUCUGUCAUGCUAGUUUCAUCAUGUUCAUAUGAUUCGCGUUCGUUACUUUGAUAGUUUGAUAUGUGGGUAGACCGGCGCUUGGGUACUGCCCUUACUUGGACAAGCAUCCCACUUAUGAUUAACCCCUCUCGCAAGCAUCCGCAACUACGAAAGAAGAAUUAAGUCAAAGUCUAACCAUAGCAUUCAACUAGUUGAUCCAAAUCAGCCCCUUACGAAGCAACGCAUAAACUAGGGUUUAAGCUUCUGUCACUCUGGCAACCCAUCAUCUACUUAUUACUUCCCAAUACCUUCCUCUAGGCCAAAAUAAUGGUGAAGUGUUAUGUAGUCGACGUUCACAUAACACCACUAGAGGAAAAACAACAUACAACAUAUCAAAUUACCGAACGAAUACCAAAUUCACAUGACUACUAUUAGCAUGACUUAUCCCAUGUCCUCAGGAACAAAAUUAACUACUCACAAAGCAUNNNNNNNNNNNNNNNNNNNNNNNNNNNNNNNNNNNNNNNNNNNNNNNNNNNNNNNNNNNNNNNNNNNNNNNNNNNNNNNNNNNNNNNNNNNNNNNNNNNNNNNNNNNNNNNNNNNNNNNNNNNNNNNNNNNNNNNNNNNNNNNNNNNNNNNNNNNNNNNNNNNNNNNNNNNNNNNNNNNNNNNNNNNNNNNNNNNNAACUAGCAUCAACUACAAAGAGUACCAAUCGGAGCCGCGAGACGGAGAUUGGUUACAAGUGAUGAACUAGGGUUUGGAGAUGAGAUGGUGCUGAUGAAGAUGUUGAUGGUGACGAGUGCCCUCCGAUGAGAGGAGUGUUGGUGAAGAUGAUGGCGACGAUUUCACCCUCCGGGAGGGAAGUUUCCCCGGCAGGAUCGUCCUGCCGGAGCUCUAGAUUGGUUCUGCUCAAGUUCCGCCUCGUGGCGGCGGCGAAACCACGAAAAACCUCCUCCUUGAUUUUUUCUGGACGAAACCCUUCAUAUAGAAAAAGAGGGGGCAAGUGGGCCAGCAGGUUACCCACAAGCCCUCAUGGUGCGGCCUAGGGGGUGGCCGCACCGUGCAGGCUUGUGGCCAACCCCUGGCGCCCCUCUGGCACUUCUUCGGCCCAGUAUUUUUUAUAAAUCCGGAAAAAAAUCCUCGUUGAUUUUUACAGCGUUUGGAGUUGCGCAGAAUAGGUAUCUCAACUUUGCUCCAUUUUUAGGCCAGAAUUCCAGUUGCCGGCAUUCUCCCUCUUCAUGUAAACCUUGCAAAAUAAGAGAGAAAAUGCAUAAGAAUUGUACUGUGAAGUGGAAUAACAGCCAAAGAAGCGAUAAAUAUCAACAUGAAAACAUGAUGCAAAAUGGACGUAUCAACUCCCCCAAGCUUAGACCUCGCUUGUCCUCAAGCGAAAACCUAGCUUCAUAGAUAUGUCCACAUGUUUAGGGAGAGAGGUGUCGACAAAACAAGACACGAACAUGCAUGCAUCAUGAUCAAGAUCAGAACAGCAAUACCAACAUAUAAUCUCUCAUGCUAAAGUGAUAAUUCCUUCACAAAGUAAGGCAUGGAUCAAGAACCUUACCGAGAAGUAACAACCGAUAGCCUUUAGUUAUUGAAGCAUUUGCUAUUUAUCACAACAUCAGAAAGAGUCAAAUAAGAGCUUGUAAAGCAAAUCCACAUACUCAAUCAUUCUUUCGUUCUCUACAAUUGCUACAACUCACGUGGUACUCAUGAGAUCAAAGUUUCAGCUGGACACAGAGAAAGAUAGGGGCUUAAAGUUUUUCCUCCCAACUGCUUACCUCAAGGGUAAUGUCAACAAUAAUAAUUCAUGAGUACUUACCUCCAAGUUGACAUAUGAAUAUAGAUCUUUCCCAAGCAUAUGACGUUAGCCAAGAUAAAGGCGAAAUAAGGAAUUGGUGAAGAUCACCAUUACUCUUUCAAGGGCAAAAAGUAAAGGUACAAGAUAGGCCCUUCGCAGAGGGGAGCAGAGGUUGUCAUGCGCUUUUGAGGUUUGGAUGUGUGUCCUCUUAGUGCGGAGGAAUGUCACUUUAUAUUGCCUCCUGUGAUAAAGAACUUUAUUAUGCAGUCUGUUGCUUUUAUGUCUUCCUCAUCACAGGUUCGUACAAAGCUUACUUUCCACACACUAAUAGAUCAUACAUAUUAGAGAGCAAUUUUUAUUGCUUGCACCGAUGACAACUUACUUGAGGGAUCUUAUUCAACCCAUAGGUAGGUAUGGUGGACACUCAUGGCAAAACUGGGUUGAUGGUUUAUGGAUGCACAAGUAGUAUCUCUACUUGGUGCUGGAGGUUUUGGCUAAUAUGAGGUGGAAGCAAUCGUCACAUGCUAAGGGAUCUCUAAUCAUAUAACAUUGUUCAGAGCCAAGCAAACACAAUUCAUUACGUUGUCUUCCUUGUCCAACAUGUACUUCUAGGCAUGUAAUAGUUUAGUGAGUGUUCACAAUAAUAGAUGGUGUCAGAGAUGAUAUAUUUAUAUGUGAACCUAUCCUUUAUCACUUCCUAUUAAUUGCAACCAUGACCAAGGUCUACGUUUGCCUACCCUCAACAAGUUUCAAUCCUCAUUCUUUUUAUAUGUGAAGCCAUCACUUGCCAUAAGAUCAUUACAUGAUCUUUCAUGCUUUUGUUCUAUUCUCACUCUUUUGAUCAUGGCAAGAGGCAAAGCCCUUCAACUAAGACACUCUUUAUUAUAUGGCUCACGAGAUCGAAUACAUUGGGGGUGACACAAAGCAAAACUCAAGACUGAAACAUUAAGACUUUUAAUCUACUAGAGAAAGAGAAAACUGAAAAGGAAAACUAAAACAAAGGUAAAGGCAAAAGAUGUGAUGGUGAUACGAUACCGAGGCAACUCCCCCAAGCUUGGCACAAGCCAAGGGGAUUGCUCAUACCAAUGCUCAGUUGUCUUCCUUUGGUGGUGAUGGUGGAGGAGUUGCAACACGAGUUUGAUCCUC
This 41798-nucleotide long non-coding RNA is filed under the name Hordeum vulgare. RNAcentral describes it as "long non-coding RNA (HVUL_LNC007862)". Lineage: Eukaryota; Viridiplantae; Streptophyta; Magnoliopsida; Poales; Poaceae. The record is from RNAcentral.